UACAGAGGUCCCAAGCGUUGUUCGGAUUCACUGGGCGUAAAGGGUGCGUAGGUGGCGGGGUAAGUCGGAUGUGAAAGCUCGGAGCUCAACUCCGAAAUGGCAUUGGAAACUACCUUGCUCGAGGGUUGGAGGGGGGACUGGAAUGCUUGGUGUAGCAGUGAAAUGCGUAGAUAUCAAGCGGAACACCAGUGGCGAAGGCGAGUCCCUGGACAACUCCUGACACUGAGGAGCGAAAGCUAGGGUAGCAAACGGG
RNAcentral lists this ribosomal RNA (253 nucleotides) under uncultured bacterium. RNAcentral's name for it is "partial 16S ribosomal RNA". It matches the Rfam family "Bacterial small subunit ribosomal RNA", at positions 524 to 776 of the family's 1533-position model. The record is from RNAcentral.